Molecule: ribosomal RNA, 2253 nt
Filed under: Triticum aestivum (bread wheat)
Lineage: Eukaryota; Viridiplantae; Streptophyta; Magnoliopsida; Poales; Poaceae
Description: partial small subunit ribosomal RNA
Source: RNAcentral
AUGGAUCCUCCCUACGCAGGAGCUAUUAUUGAACCUGCUAAAUGCCGAUUGAUGAGUGUGGAUGAAAAGAAGGAUCUUGUUCGUGAAUUAUCGAAGAGGCCACAAACUGCUCCUGACAAACUACAGUCAUGGAGUCGGCGUGAUAUUGUAGAGAUUCUUUGUGCUGAUCUUGGAAGGGAAAGGAAAUAUACUGGAUUAUCUAAGCAGAGAAUGCUGGAUUAUCUCUUCAGGGUGGUGACUGGCAAAUCAUCUGGCCCUGUGGUGCAUGUGCAAGAAAAGGAGCCAACUCUCGAUCCCAACGCAAGUAACCAUCAGUACCCUGCGAAACGUCAAAGGAAGAGUGACAAUCCAUCACGACUGCCGAUUGCUGUCAACAAUCCGCAAACCGCAGUUGUACCCGUGCAAAUUAAUAAUGUGCGGUCCUGCCGGAAUAUAGCAUGCAGAGCGAUUCUUAGCAUGGAAGAUAAAUUUUGCAGACGCUGUUCAUGCUGCAUAUGCUUCAAGUAUGAUGACAACAAGGACCCUACCAUAUGGUUGUCCUGUAGUUCAGAUCAUCCCAUGCAAAAGGAUUCUUGCGGGCUAUCAUGCCAUCUUGAGUGUGCUCUCAAGGAUGGAAGAACUGGCAUUCUGCCGAGUGGGCAGUGCAAGAAACUUGAUGGUGCUUAUUACUGCCCUAACUGUCGGAAGCAGCAUGAUUUGCUCAGGUCCUGGAAGAAACAACUAAUGUUAGCUAAAGAGGCUCGGCGGCUGGAUAUAUUGUGUUACCGGAUUUUUCUGGGUCAUAAGGUCCUCUUCUCCACCGAGAAGUACUCGGUCUUGCAUAAAUUUGUUGACAUAGCAAAGCAGAAACUUGAGGCUGAGGUUGGAUCUGUAGCCGGGCAUGGAAGUAUGGGUCGUGGAAUUGUCAGUCGUCUUACUUGUGGUGCUGAAGUUCAGAAACUUUGUGCUGAGGCACUAGAUGUCAUGCAGUCUAAGUUCCCUGUUGAAUCUCCUACUAACUCACAAUUUGAACGAUCCAAUAUGAUGCCAUCGAGCUUCAUAAAGUUUGAACCUAUAACUCCUACAUCUAUCACUGUAGUUUUUGAUUUGGCUCGAUGUCCUUACAUCUCCCAAGGGGUAACUGGCUUUAAAGUAUGGCACCAGGUGGAUGGUACAGGAUUUUACUCGUUAAAUCCAACUGGCACCGUACAUCUAAUGUCAAAAACAUUUGUUGUCACUGAACUCAAGCCAGCUACAUGCUAUGUGAUCAAGGUAACUGCAUUCAGCAACUCCAGUGAGUUUGCGCCAUGGGAAGCCAGGGUAAGUACAAGCUCUCUGAAAGAAAGUGAUCUGAAGGGUUUGGCUCCAGGUGGUGCUGGAUUAGUAGACCAAAAUAACAGGAGCCCAAAGACAAAUAGUGGUGGUCAAUCUGAUCGUUCUUCAGAGGGAGUUGACUCAAACAAUAAUGCAACAGUGUACACUGAUCUUAACAAGUCACCGGAAAGUGAUUUUGAGUACUGUGAAAAUCCUGAGAUCCUUGAUUCAGACAAAGUGCCUCAUCAUCCCAACGGGCCUAGCAAUAACUUGCAAAACAUGCAGAUAGUUGCAGCUAGGGUACCAGAGGUGACUGAACUGGAGGAAGCUCCUGGGCUCUCAGCGUCAGCUUUGGAUGAGGAGCCUAAUUCAACAGUUCAAGCUGCUUUACUUAGGGAGUCUUCAAACUCAAUGGAGCAAAACCAAAGGAGCGAAGUUCCUAUAUCACAGGAUGCAUCAAAUGCAACUGCUGGAGUUGAGUUGGCUCUUGUUCCUCGAUUUGUUGGCUCUAUGCCACCCACUGCACCAAGAGUUAUGGAAACUGGUAAGGAGACUGGUGGAAGGAGCUUCAACACAAAACCUUCUGACAACAUCUUUCAAAAUGGCUCCUCAAAGCCUGAUAGAGAGCCAGGGAAUUCGUCAAACAAAAGAUCGGGUAAAUUCGAGGAUGCUGGCCACAAGGAUGGAUGCCCCGAAGCAACUUAUGAGUACUGUGUCAGGGUGGUGAGGUGGCUGGAGACUGAGGGCUAUAUUGAGACCAACUUCAGGGUGAAGUUCUUGACAUGGUACAGCUUGCGUGCUACCCCGCAUGAUCGGAAGAUUGUCAGCGUGUACGUGGACACCCUCAUCAAUGAUCCUGCAAGCCUCUGCGGCCAGCUGACCGACACCUUCUCGGAGGCGAUCUACAGCAAGAAGCCGCCUUCAGUCCCCUCUGGCUUCUGCAUGAACCUCUGGCAUUAA